This 80-nucleotide microRNA precursor is filed under the name Xyrichtys novacula (pearly razorfish). Lineage: Eukaryota; Metazoa; Chordata; Actinopteri; Labriformes; Labridae. The record is from RNAcentral.
GUUCACUGGAACAGUCUGAGGUGUCCUCCUCCUGCAGAAAUCCACAGGAGGAGGACACCUCAGACUGUUCCAGUCUGACU